This is a microRNA precursor of Vulpes vulpes (red fox), 109 nucleotides long. The record is from Ensembl. NCBI's taxonomy places the organism in Eukaryota, Metazoa, Chordata, Mammalia, Carnivora, Canidae.
CUGUGGGGGCCAGCGAGCUGCGCGACCUGUAUUUGAAAACGGAGAACUACCUGGGAGGAGAGUACUUUGCUCGGAUGGUCAAGGCGAGUGAGCCCUCGGCGUCUCCAAG